RNAcentral lists this ribosomal RNA (119 nucleotides) under Rhinopithecus roxellana (golden snub-nosed monkey). Lineage: Eukaryota; Metazoa; Chordata; Mammalia; Primates; Cercopithecidae. The record is from RNAcentral.
GUGUAGGGCCAUACCACCCUGAAGGCGCCUGAUCUCGUCUGAUCUCAGAAGCUUAGCAGGGUCGGGCCCAUUUAGUACUUGGAUGGGAGACCGCCUGGAAAAAGUGGGCACUAUAGGUU